GUUCUUUAUAGUCUUUGUAUAUUAACCCUUUAUGAUUUGAGAAUAUCUACUCCCAUUCUGUAGGUUGCCUUUUAGUUUAGUUGGUUGUUUCCUUUGCUGUGCAAAAACUGUAUGCAACUGAUGAAUCACUAAAGUCUACCCCUGAAACUAAUAUAUAUUUUUUAGAAUAUGGAAACUGGUCCAAACAUUAUCAGCAAUAUAUUGUUUUUGCUUUUUUUCUUAAAAUAUUUUGAGACCACUUUUGAUAUACACACAUAUAAUUCUGUGGUCAAAACAAACAAAUAGGACUUUAAUGAGACUAAACAAAAAUGCAAAACUUAAACAAAAUUUAAAAAUUUGAAAGCAUAACCUAAAUUUUUCUGCAUAGCUGAAAUCUAAAGCAAGUCCUGUUGCAGGGGUGGGAGGGGGUAUUGACAGGAAGAUAAAGCAGGGUUUUUUAUAAUGUCUUGCACCUUUAAAUGUUGCAAAAAAUAAUUUCACUCCAUAGGCUGAAAAUGUUUCACAGAUAGUUCAUUCCUAUAUCUUUAGGCACCAUAGCUGUGGCAGUGCCUCCUUUUGCAAGGUAAACUGCAGUGCUGGAUUUGGAAUGAACUGCCCUGUUACUGCCACUGUUGUUGACCUCACAGUCCAGUGGUUCAGUGGAAAAGACCCAGGUGGAGGAGCACCACCACUUAAGAGAAUAGGGAGUUUUUACACAGUUAACAUGAUAACUAAAUUGAAUUUAAAUUAAAAAAAUUUUAAUUUUUUUUUUUUUUUUAUGAUAGUCACACACACACACAGAGAGGCAGAGACACAGGCAGAGAGAAAAGCAGGCUCCAUGCACUGGGAGCCCGACGUGGGAUUCGAUCCCGGGUCUCCAGGAUCGCGCCCUGGGCCAAAGGCAGGCGCCAAACCACUGUGCCACCCAGGGAUCCCAAAAAAAAUUUAAAUAAAUAAAACUUUCUUAUUUUGAAAUAAUUAUAGAUUCACAGGAAGCUUGUAAAAAGAAUCUAAAGGAAUGUCCUGUGUACCAGGACCCAGUUUUCUCCAGUGGUAACCUUUUUUGUUAACUAUACUAUAAUAUCAAAACAAGUAAAUUGAUAUUAGCAUAAUCCAAGAGUUUAUUCAAAUUUCACCAGUCAUCUAUGCACUCAUUUGUGUAUAUGUGUACACGUGUGUAUUUCUAUGCAAUAUUAUCACAUGUUUAAAUUCAUGUAACCACUACCCCAAUCAAGGAUCCCUGGUACUACCCCUUUCAUAGCCAGUCGAUUCCUGUCUUUCCUGCCUCCACUGCCACCUUGUAACCCCUGGCGAUCACUAAUCUGUUCUCCAUCUCUAUAAUUUUGUGGCAAGCAUGCAGUUAGUUCAGUUAAAAUACAGCUUGAAUCACGGCCUAUCGUUAUUUUGUGGAAAAGCAUCAUCUUCACCUUAGACUUUGAAACUUCUCAUGAAUCUUUUCAUUAGUAGUCAAAUUUUCCAAGAUAAUUUCUACCAAGGUUAUUGCAAACCAGCUGUCUUUAAAUUUGUAUUCUCUAAUUCUUCCCUCUUCUAGAAGAUGAUGUUGUCAAAUAUUUUACAAAUGAAUCAUGACCAUCAGAUGUGGGUUGUUGUUUUUUGUUUAAAGAUUCUAUUUACCUAUUCAUGAGGGACCCAGAAAGAGAGACAGAGACACAGGCAGAGGGAGAAGCAGGCUCCAUGAGCUGCUUCUGAGCUGCCCUGAGCUGUCCAGGUGUCCCACAAAAAAUCUUUAAAUUUUGCUUUAAAAAUUUACUGUCAGUAUAUCUUCCUUGAUCCUUUCUUCCACUACAAAGGCACAGAUAAUCUUACUAAUCUCUGUUAUUUAUUGUGGAAACUUUCUCUGAAAAUAUCCCCUCCUUCUCUGAGAUCAUUAUCUGACCACCUCCCCCCAUUCCUUGCAUCCCAAUUUAAGUGGUUCUUUUUUUAAUCUAUAUGCAUGUUUUUAACCCUGUUACAAAUAUUGUUUGUAUCUGGGUCAGAUGAAGUUCCCAGCCACAAAGAGAGAUGCAAACUAUAUACUAACAGCUUAAAUUCAGCUAGGCACACCAGUGUGAUCCUAUUCGUUGCCAGAUACCAAAAAUACUUUUGUACAAGUUAAUAAAUAGCUGAUACCAGAAGACCCUACGAUAAACUUAGGCACAACUAGGUCCCAUCUCUGAGACCCAUCAGAUAUCCUAUUAGCCAGAAACCAAAGGUCUGGCAUUAUAGACAGCUUCUGUUCUGUUUUGAAUAUUCCUCCCUCUUCUACCACUAAGUACAAUAAAAAUGUGAUCGAUGCUGUAUUGGUGAUUUUUUAAAGUUUUAUGAAAACUCAGAGAAUGGAGUACUCUUUGACAACAGAAGGUAAGAUUAGGAGAGUCAAGAGAACAUCCGAGAAAAGUUUACAGGGUAUAUUAGUGCUUCCCAACUGGUGAUAAAUAAUAGUAAUAAUAAAUACCAUUUUUUCAGUGCUUACUAUGUCAUAGGCUCUGCGCCAAAUUCCUUUUACAAACAUUUACUGCAUUUAUUGCUCACAAAACUGCAAGACAUAUAAUUACAAUUCUAUUUUAUAGAUGAGCAGUAUUCUUCACCAGCUGAUACUGAUAGAGCUGAACCAGUUUUUCAAAGCUAUCCAUUUUAAUUAGUCACAGUGUUGUGAUUAGUCAGCACCUGGACCAUGCCAAUUAUUAAUAAUUUUGGUUUUUUUUUAAUUUUUAUUUAUUUAUGAUAGUCACACAGAGAGAGAGAGAGAGGCAGAGACAUAGACAGAGGGAGAAGCAGGCUCCACGCACCGGGAGCCCGACGUGGGAUUCGAUCCCGGGUCUCCAGGAUCGUGCCCUGGGCCAAAGGCAGGCACUAAACCACUGCGCCACCCAGGGAUCCCUAUUAAUGAUUUUGAACAUCAUUCCUACAGAUAAAAAAUCAGAAACUAAGAAUAAAUCAGUAGCAAAAGAUCACAUACCAAAGAGUAGAACUGGGAUUUCAAUCCAAGGCUGAACUAAAGUUCAUGUUCUUUUUUUUUUUUUUUAAUUUUUAUUUAUUUAUGAUAGAGAGAGAGAGAGGCAGAGAGAGAAGCAGGCUCCAUGCACCGGGAGCCCAACGUGGGAUUCAAUCCCAGGUCUCCAGGAUCGCGCCCUGGGCCAAAGGCAGGUGCCAAACCGCUGCGCCACCCAGGGCUCCCUAAAGUUCAUGUUCUAAACCACUUUCUUACCUACAUGUCUUUUUUUUUUUUUUAACCCACAUUUCAACUAUGAAGACAACUUAAAAAAACUUCCAUAAUAUGUUUUUCCUCUUUAUAUCUUCUGGGAAGGUAAGUGGUACCAUAUGUUUUUCAUCUCCCAAAAGCCCUCCAUAAGAAACAGAUGAAUAAGGUAGAGAAGCCAAAAACCUACAGAUAAUAUCAAUAACAAAUUAGGUGAUAAAGUAUUCCCACAAACUAAAAUUUGAGGUGUAGGAUUCAACCUCCAACAGUAACACACUCACAUAGUAUUUAUCAGCAGCUACACAGAAGGGAGCAGAGAAAGGAGAUGGUCUUCUGAUAGCCCUGGAAGCUAGAGAGCCCCCAAAUUACUAUAGGUGUUCUCAGAAAUGCUCACAAGACAUAUCUGAGAACAACAGCCAAAACUGGAUGAAGUUUGCAGACUCCCAGUCCCAAGUAACAGAAGGAGGACUAGAAUAGUCUGAGCCCUAUGAACUCUCAAUUCUAAGUGAUGAAAGUUCUCUGAUAAGACAAAGCUUACAUUAAGAAACUGCUGGAAGUAAGACUAAGCAGAGCAAAUUGAGCAGUCAGGAAUGGAGAAGGCAAAACAAGAUCCAAUGAUGAGGGGAGGAGUACUUUAUGAAACAACGUAAGAAAGAGGGAGCUCUAGUACUGAUACAUUAGGAAGGUUAUCCUUAGGUUACUUCUUUCAUGGGUUAGAAAUGCUCAUCUCACUUAUGCAUGAGCAAUCAAAUAGAUCACAAAAGUAAAUGUCUUAUAGUUCUUGUUGGAGAAGGUCAUCAAGAAGACAGGACUGCCAGUUGACCUGUGAGCUGGACUCAGGCACUAGGAGGCUCCUCAUCCCCUUUCUGUCCUUGGAAUGUGGGUUCUGUUUGCCUUUCCCACUCCCAGAGGCUGCUCUCAGGACACAACCUUGAGAUAGUGAUGUGUUGAGAACAACUGCAUGGUAUAUGUGAUUGAACCUAGUUAAGACCUAUAUUUGGGCAGCCUGGGUGGCUCAGUGGAUUAGCGCCGCCUUCAGCCCAGGGCCUGAUCGCCUGAUUGAGUCCCGCGUCGAGCUCCUUGCAUGAAGCCUGC
This 4273-nucleotide long non-coding RNA is filed under the name Canis lupus familiaris (dog). RNAcentral's name for it is "lncRNA (ENSCAFG00000055913.1, ENSCAFG00845011805.1)". Lineage: Eukaryota; Metazoa; Chordata; Mammalia; Carnivora; Canidae. The record is from RNAcentral.